Molecule: ribosomal RNA, 491 nt
Filed under: uncultured bacterium
Lineage: Bacteria
Description: partial 16S ribosomal RNA
Rfam family: Bacterial small subunit ribosomal RNA
Source: RNAcentral
GAUGAACGCUGUCUACAGGCUUAACACAUGCAAGUCGAGGGGAAACGACGGGGAAGCUUGCUUCCCCGGGCGUCGACCGGCGCACGGGUGAGUAACGCGUAUCCAACCUGCCUCUGACUGAGGGAUAACCCGUCGAAAGUCGGCCUAAUACCUCAUGGCAUCGUCUGCGGGCAUCCAACGACGAUUAAAGAUUUCAUCGGUCAGGGAUGGGGAUGCGUCUGAUUAGCUUGUUGGCGGGGUAACGGCCCACCAAGGCUACGAUCAGUAGGGGUUCUGAGAGGAAGGUCCCCCACAUUGGAACUGAGACACGGUCCAAACUCCUACGGGAGGCAGCAGUGAGGAAUAUUGGUCAAUGGGCGGGAGCCUGAACCAGCCAAGUAGCGUGCAGGAUGACGGCCCUAUGGGUUGUAAACUGCUUUUAUGCGGGGAUAAAGUGAGGGACGUGUCCUUCAUUGCAGGUACCGCAUGGAUAAGGACCGGCUAAUUCCGUG